UCCGAAGGGGGCUAUCGUUGUUCGGAAUUACUGGGCGUAAAGCGCGUGUAGGCGGGCCGUUAAGUCGGGGGUGAAAGCCCAGAGCUCAACUCUGGAACUGCCUUCGAUACUGGCGGCCUGGAGCAUGAUAGAGGCGAGUGGAAUUGCGAGUGUAGAGGUGAAAUUCGUAGAUAUUCGCAGGAACACCAGUGGCGAAGGCGACUCGCUGGAUCAUUGCUGACGCUGAGACGCGAAAGCGUGGGGAGAAAACAGG
This 253-nucleotide ribosomal RNA is filed under the name uncultured bacterium. RNAcentral describes it as "partial 16S ribosomal RNA". It matches the Rfam family "Bacterial small subunit ribosomal RNA", at positions 524 to 776 of the family's 1533-position model. The record is from RNAcentral.